RNAcentral lists this ribosomal RNA (116 nucleotides) under Pteropus alecto (black flying fox). Lineage: Eukaryota; Metazoa; Chordata; Mammalia; Chiroptera; Pteropodidae. The record is from RNAcentral.
GUCUACGGCCAGGCCACCCUGAGCAAGCCUGAUGUCUGAUCUUGGAAGCUAAGCAGGAUUGGGCCUCGUUAGUACUUGGAUGAGAGACCACCUAGGAAGACCAGGUGCUGUAGGCA